GGAGCCGUAGCGAAAGCGAGUUUUAACUGAGCGUUCAGUUACUUGACGUAGACCCGAAACCGGGCGACCUACCCAUGAGCAGGAUGAAGCGAAAGUAAAAUUUCGGGGAGGUCCGAACCCACGAGCGUUGAAAAGCUCGGGGAUGACUUGUGGGUAGCGGUGAAAUUCCAAUCGAGCCCGGAGAUAGCUGGUUCUCCCCGAAAUAGCUUUAGGGCUAGCCUCAAGGUGAGAGAUACGGAGGUAGAGCACUGAAUGUCCUAGGGGGUAUUGCACCUACCGAAGACUAUCAAACUCCGAAUGCCGUCAUCUUAUACUUGGGAGUCAGACUGUGGGUGAUAAGAUUCAUAGUCGAAAGGGCAACAGCCCAGAUCGUCAGCUAAGGUCCCUAAAUGUAAGUUAAGUGGUAAAGGAUGUGGGAUUGCACAGACAACCAGGAUGUUGGCUUAGAAGCAGCCACUCAUUCAAAGAGUGCGUAAUAGCUCACUGGUCGAGUGAUCCUGCGCCGAAGAUUUCCGGGGCUAAAACUUACUACCGAAGCUACGGCAUCAGUAAUGAUGGGUAGGGGAGCUUCCCAUACGGGUUGAAGCAUGACCGUAAGGACAUGUGGACAGUAUGGGAGUGAGAAUGUUGGCAUGAGUAGCGAGAUGUGGGUGAGAAUCCCACAGGCCGUAAACCCAAGG
RNAcentral lists this ribosomal RNA (680 nucleotides) under Clostridioides difficile. RNAcentral's name for it is "bacterial LSU rRNA". It matches the Rfam family "Bacterial large subunit ribosomal RNA", at positions 662 to 1350 of the family's 2925-position model. Lineage: Bacteria; Bacillati; Bacillota; Clostridia; Peptostreptococcales; Peptostreptococcaceae. The record is from RNAcentral.